This 252-nucleotide ribosomal RNA is filed under the name uncultured bacterium. RNAcentral describes it as "partial 16S ribosomal RNA". It matches the Rfam family "Bacterial small subunit ribosomal RNA", at positions 524 to 776 of the family's 1533-position model. The record is from RNAcentral.
UACGGGGGGGCAAGCGUUGUUCGGAAUUACUGGGCGUAAAGGGCUUGUAGGUGGCCAACUAAGUCAGACGUGAAAUCCCUCAGCUUAACUGGGGAACUGCUUCUGAUACUGGAUGGCUUGAGUUUGGGAGAGGGAUGCGGAAUUCCAGGUGUAGCGGUGAAAUGCGUAGAUAUCUGGAGGAACACCGGUGGCGAAGGCGGCAUCCUGGACCAACACUGACACUGAAAAGCGAAAGCCAGGGGAGCAAACGGG